CUUGGUCAUUUAGAGGAAGUAAAAGUCGUAACAAGGUUUCCGUAGGUGAACCUGCGGAAGGAUCAUUAUUAAAAGAAUUAGAGUGCACUUUAUUGUUGUGCAAGUCUCUUAUAAACCAAACCCAAACACGUCUAAAAAGGUUGCAUGACUGUCAAAGGUCAUUGCUAUUGAGUAUACGUAACAGUCUUAAUUGAAUUGUUGCAUUACCCCCCCUCCCUUUUUUUUUUUUUUUAAUUCAACAAACACAAGUUUAAAUCAAUGUAACCAAACCUUUGAUUUAUAAAUAACUUUUAACAAUGGAUCUCUAGGCUCUCACAUCGAUGAAGAACACAGUGGCAUGUCAUAAGUAAUGUGAAUUGCAGAAUUCAGCGAAUCAUCGAAUCUUUGAACGCAUCUUGCACAUUUUGGUACUCCAAAAGGUACACCAGUUUGAGUGUCAUGAAACCCUCUCAUUAAACAUUUUUUUAAUAAUUUGUUUAGUGGAUGUUGAGUGUUGCGGUAAUUAUAGCUCACCCUAAUUAUAUAAGUCCAUUUUCAAAUAAGUUGGAUUGUCUUGAUGAAAUAAUUUUAGCAUCACAUCAAGGAAAGUAAUCAGAUACUGGCCAUCUUGUUUGUAACAAGAGACCCCUAACAUCCCCAAUAACUCGAAUUUAAGACCUCAAAUCAGGUCCCACUACCCGCUGAACCUAAGCAUAUCAAUAAGCGGAGGA
This 710-nucleotide ribosomal RNA is filed under the name Puccinia graminis. RNAcentral's name for it is "eukaryotic LSU rRNA". The stretch from base 286 to 439 matches the Rfam family "5.8S ribosomal RNA". Lineage: Eukaryota; Fungi; Basidiomycota; Pucciniomycetes; Pucciniales; Pucciniaceae. The record is from RNAcentral.